This 319-nucleotide ribosomal RNA is filed under the name uncultured bacterium. RNAcentral describes it as "bacterial SSU rRNA". It matches the Rfam family "Bacterial small subunit ribosomal RNA", at positions 28 to 353 of the family's 1533-position model. The record is from RNAcentral.
GACGAACGCUGGCGGCGUGCCUAACACAUGCAAGUCGAACGGGGGUAGCAAUACCUCAGUGGCGAACGGGUGCGUAACACGUGAAGAAUUUGUCUAACGGGCGGGGGAUAGCCGGCCCAACGGCCGGGUAAUACCGCGUACGACCUCUGGAGGGCAUCCUCUGGUGGUGAAAGCCGCAAGGCGCCGAUAGAGAACUUCGCGGCCUAUCAGCUAGUUGGCGGGGUAAUGGCCCACCAAGGCGACGACGGGUAGCUGGUCCGAGAGGAUGACCAGCCACAUUGGGACUGAGACACGGCCCAGACUCCUACGGGAGGCAGCA